Long non-coding RNA from Neopsephotus bourkii (Bourke's parrot), 5378 nucleotides. RefSeq lists it as uncharacterized. The transcript has 4 exons. The record is from RefSeq and is a predicted model, not a curated record. NCBI's taxonomy places the organism in Eukaryota, Metazoa, Chordata, Aves, Psittaciformes, Psittacidae.
UAGCAUCUGUCAGUAGUUGGUGUGCAAACCCCCAGUGAGAAGUGUGCCUAUGCAAGCUCACACAACGCUGUCUACACGCUUGCUGGGUAAUCAUCAUCUCAGAUCUUGAGCUUUAAUUAAAAGGGAUUAAUGCUGCUAAUCCACUGUUCCCAAAUUUGGCCACCUGCUUGUGCAACCUGUUUGUGCAAUGGUUGCAUAUCUAUGAUGUGUUGCUUCAUGGCUCUGCAAAAUGCAGGAUAAAUGGUAUAACGAGGCCAGCGGCCUCAUAGUGUGACAACUGUUAGAUCCCAAGGGGUCUCACUGCCUCAUACAGUUACAUGGAUGUGGAUUUCUCCUCCUGUGAGAAGAUCUGGAAGAGCUAGAAGCAUACCAAUAAGCACUCUUGGGUGACAAUAAGCAACAGCUCUAAGAUACGAACCAAAUGGUUUUGCAGUCUGUGGUUUUUAUAUUUUGGUUGUCACUGUUUUGUGAUGUGACACUGGUACAAUCCAAUGCCUUGCACAUACACAGCAUAGCAAAGAAGAAGAGCGAUGCCGUCUGAUGUUCAUACAUGCAGUGGAUGCAGUGCUGUCAGUAUCUGCCUUAUGGAAAGUAGAUAAGCCACAAAUUCCAAGCUUCAUCCUCAGAAAUACUGAAAGAAGUAGUUGAGGAAAUCUGUUAAAGAUGCUGAUAAUGCCGAGGAAGAAUCAGGAAGAACAAGGAGAGAAGUAGGAAUAGUCACAAAAGGCGAUACCAAGGAAAGUCAUGAAGAAAUGAGACAGAAAAGCUGUCAAGAAAACCCUGUAUUAGCACAGCUACUGAUGGGUCAAGACCAAACAGGAGAUGCAGCACAAAGGAAGAGCAUGGACAUUUAAACAGAGCUUGUUUGCAUCCUGAUUGAUACUGGCUGUGAGUACUGUCCCACUUUGACCAAUUCCUCCCAAAUUUUAAUGUUCUUACACUAUUGCUGUCUGUUCCAUUUUAAUUGUAAACCCAACCUAAUGUGUUGAGGUUUUUUAUACUCUAUUGAGUGUUCAGCAUCUGGUUGGCAAUCACAGAUGUUCACUAGCAAGCACUGUUUGGUUCCUGAGCAGUCCUCUCCAUAUCAAGUGGUCUUUUGAUCUUCACUUAAAUACCAGGUUUGAAAAUGAUCUGAUAAGUAAUGCUUGUCCUGAAUUCUGUAACAUUAAGCAGCUGCUACUUUUCAACUUGAUGUGGUUAAAAGUGACUUUAACCCUUGAUUUCUGUGGAUAGAAUCUAGUGAUAGAAUCAAGGACUCUGGAUAUGAUCCCUUGGUUUCUCUAGUGAUUCACUUUGUGGUCUUGUGCAGUUACUUAACCACGUUUCUACAGCUACAAAUUAAGGGCAGUAAUUUUUCAGUACCUCACAAGAAAGUUGUUUAGAGAGCACGAGGGAAUUUCUGUGAUACUUUGAAAACUCAAAAUGUCAGCUGAAUUAUGUCUUCUUUUUAUUAUUAAUAUUGCACUUGUAGUUAAGAGACUUGUAAUCCUUUGAGAUGAAAAAUGCCAUAAAUGCAAGAUUUGUGCUUGAAAAGUUCAAUGAAAAAUUAAGGCAUUUCUGUUCUCUAAAAAAAAAAAACCCAACCUAGUUCUGUCUCCUAAUGCUAAGAUAUAGCCUAUUGAUAUUCAAGCAGCAAACAGAAUACCAUUACUUUUGUGAUUCGAAUAUGAACUGUGUUAUUAAUGUUUUGAGGGUGCAAGUGAAAGGGCAUUAUAUCUUUGCUGAACAGAUAUAGGUCACCCUGAUCAGAACCAAUAUUGAGCUGUGGUAGGAGCAAGUGGACAAAAAAUGACCAAAAAAUGCCUUUGUAUAUAUUCCAGCAGUGACCUUUCAGGGAAGUUACCAGGAAAUAACAUGAAAUUAAAUAUCAGAAAACAUUAAAUAUCAAAUGAAAUAUCAGGAAACAUCAAAUUAAAGAAAAUGUUAAUUUAGUUGUAAGACUGUUACUGAACGAUAUGGCAGUGAAGAAGACAAACCUGUUAUUCAUGCCUGUGCCCUUUAGAAAAGGUUGCAGAUGGGACCACUGAGCCAUAGCCCGUUGUGGGAAGAUGUCUAGUGUAAAAUUAAGGGACUGAUCCUGGUGUAUAAAGCGAUAACAAAUCUUCCUCCGUAAGGGUUGUUAAGACAGAGGAUCAGCUCCACUCUGGGUCCAUUUAAACUUUAAAUCCUGAAAUGCAGGUUAGGGGCUUGCACGGGGAGAUAACCUGACUUUUCAUUAGAGCAGCACUAAGAUGGUUAAUCUAUAUGUUCAGAAUUACAGUUUUUAUUGCAAACAUUGUAAGAUCUCUCUCCCGAGAGGGAAUGUGUAAUACCUCCUUUCUGCCUAGCUUCUCCUAAGGCUGAAAAUACUGAAUCAUACAUCCUGCUCUGAUUAUAAAGAGUACUCUUGGAGUUCCCACAGCUUUUUGCUAACUGGUUUGAAAGGUACAUUUUGUAACCAUCUUGUUGUCUGGAGAGCAUUGCUGUGUUGGAAAUGGAAUAGUUAUAGCCACAGGGCUCUGAAGAGAGCUAAUUACAGCAAUUUAGAACAACAAAAGUUCUGUUCCUGGGGGGACACUGAAGAGAUCCUUCCCCAGAGCAGCAUGCCACGAUUUCAGAGGCAAUUUAUUGUAAUAUUCCUGCAUAAGUCAUCUGGUGUACCAAGGAUUUACAAAUCUGGCUGUCUUAUUAUGGUUUGUUCUCUCAGCCCGUAUGUUAUCAGGGGCACUCAUGCAUGUCUUGUAGCAUUCCUGGAGAUAUAAAAAUGGAAAACCUGUCAAUCAAAUGUUGUCUAUCUUACUUUAACCUAGCUACCACUCAGAACAAAGCUGUUCAAAUGCAGAGAAACAAUCUUCUAUCAUGCUGAUGUGGCUUUCCACCUUGAGACAAAUCCAUUGAGCUUCGAGAGAAGAGUUUUCAAAUCAAUUGUGAUUCUCUUAGUGUGGUGUCAUGGAUUUUCUUCAUAUUUUUCAUAAAAAGAAAUUGUUGCCUUUCAACUUACCAGAACAAGUUGAUAAAAGAGUAGGUCAGCUCUCUUCUGUCACAUUCACAUUUGCCAAGCAGACAGCAGUUCUUGGUAUCUGUUCCUGUACACAGGUUAACAAUGGAAGUGCUAUUACUGGAAUGGUAUUUUGACAUUCAGACCUACGUUUUUCUUUCUUAAUUUUUCUUUAAGAUUUGAUGAAUUACUUGCUGUGGGCCUGUUUCUGCUGUACAAGUGAUUUGUAUUAGUCAAAGAGAACGUUGUUUGCUGAAGGACUGCCAAGCCAGGUGCUGGGCAAACAGGCUGCUAGUAGUGCUGUGAGAGCCUGAGGCCUGGCUAUUUACUGCUCAAGUGUGACUUGUGCAAAUGUUUCUUCCUUGCUUUUUGCAUACUUUAUCUGAUGACUGACAGGAUGUUGAACUGUGUGGUUGGUUGGGCAGCGCACAGAGCUCUUUCUAGGGAUUAUGGUUUAGUGCUCUGAUUCACAGUUCAGUCUCAUAGGUAGGCUGUUCUGUGGGCACCCAGCUGGCUGACAAAGCAGGACUGCUUGUUCUGCUGACGUUGUACAAGGGUAUUGAAAAGCUAUGAAUGGAGGUAGCAUAAAGCAAGAUUUAAAAAGGUUAUCUGAUGCUUUUAUUCCACUGUAGAAAGCAGCAAGAACUUGUCAUUAUGUUGCUGUGUGUAAUUAACGAGUGGGUGAACGCUCCUGUGGGACCAGUGCUCUGCUCCAUUCAAUCCUAACCUGGCUAGGUGAGUCUGGCUAGAUGGUGACAAAGAGUUCAGCGAAGAGUAGCUGGAGUGGGAAGGCAGAAAAGCUUCUGAAAAUCUGAUUGCGACAGAAAUGAAAUGUACCUAGUCACGUUUCUGGUGCUUUGUGUGGAGGUCUCUGAACCUGUCCCUAAAAUGAGUGCUUCACACUUUGCUCCCUUCCACAAGCAUCUGUGAAGGUACAAAGUCAACCCUGUUAUAGGAUCUGGUGAAAUUAAGGGUGUGUGUGUGUGUGUUUGUCAGAUUUUCUUCAAAAUCAAUUGUGUUCUGCUAUUGAUAUCUAUGGUUUAACUCCAGUUUUGGGAGUUUAUUUGAAUGUAAAACAUGUGCCAGGUAAGUACAGACAGAGCUGAAUGAAAGCCCUUAUUUUACAUCCACUGUACUUGCACCUUGCUCUGAAAGCAAGAGCAUGGCUGCUUCAAGUUUUGUAAGAGCUGUCACCCAAAGUCCUUUCACUGCUGUUUUAAAGGUCACCUCAGAUUUACGCAUUAGAUCAGGUUAAUGUGUUAUUAAUCAAUCAGGAACUGGUUGAAAAUUAUUGGAUUCUGCACUUCUGUGAUACAUGUUAAAUAGGAAUUCUACUGCUAUGGCUGAAACCAUAUAGUCAUUCCCCCUGACUCCAUCACCAGCUGCUAGGCUCUGCACUGUUCUCUGAUCUGACUGGACAAGCUGCUUUUCAUUGUCUUCCCAACCCGUUGGUGAUCCUUGGAUUUUGCCCAGGCUAAUGCUCUUCUUUCUCCUUCUUCCUCUUUCAUCUUCUGCUUUGCACAUUCCAUCAUCACAUCUGCUCUGCUGAGAGUGGAAGUGCCUCUUUAGCACACUGCUUCCAUCUCCGCUUACUCACUCUUUCUCAGGUUUUGUGAUGCUAUCCUCUCUCAAAUUCUCAUCAUGAUUUGUGACCAAGAACACCUUCACCUUUGUGAUAUCAAAUAUGGCUUCAACAGCACUGUGUUCAUAUCUAGAGAUGGUGUGAGUGGUACCCCCUACUCUGCUUUAUGAUAUUAGUGUUGAUUAAUAAUUAUGCUUGUGCUGUGGUAAAGCAUUAAGGUGGAGAAUCCCAGCCACACUGUGGCUGCUCUUUUAAUUCAUCUUUAUUACUGAACAAAGCAGACUCUUCCAUUUCAAAGAGCUUACAGCUUUUUUAUGACCAGUGCUGUUGGUUGUUUAUUAGAACACCUUUUCCUGCUGAUUAAUUUGUAUUUUAAGUCUAUUUUUAAAAUUAUUUUUCUGUUGUGUCUUUUAAAACAUGUGUUUAUUACUUUUCUAUGAGUCCCCAAGUGCCUUAGCUGGCAAAGUCUUAAUGAAUAAAACGACUGUCAUGUUAUAGCUAUAAAAAUCCGCUCCCUCAUUGGAAUGGGAUGUGCAAGUUUGAGGAAGCUGAGGGAAACGGGGAAUAUAUUUAUUUUGGAGUUAAGUAAAACAGGAUAAAUACAUAUGAAAAAUAUAAAAUUAUUUUGCAGUCACAAACCGCUAAUGUGUUGAUCUUCCUAAUUCUACCUUAAGCGCAUAAACCAAGUAGUGUAUGUGUACUGUCAUCACAGUGAUGCUUGCUCUGUAGGACAGAUCCAGCAAGCUAACUUUGUAGCAGCUGAAUGCUGACAGUAAUCUGGAAGUACCAAAGAAUUCUGUAUGUGCUCUGUGUACCUGC